Molecule: ribosomal RNA, 440 nt
Filed under: uncultured bacterium
Lineage: Bacteria
Description: partial 16S ribosomal RNA
Rfam family: Bacterial small subunit ribosomal RNA
Source: RNAcentral
CCUACGGGAGGCAGCAGUGGGGAAUAUUGCACAAUGGGGGAAACCCUGAUGCAGCGACGCCGCGUGAGUGAAGAAGUAAUUCGUUAUGUAAAGCUCUAUCAGCAGGGAAGAAAAUGACGGUACCUGAGUAAGAAGCCCCGGCUAACUACGUGCCAGCAGCCGCGGUAAUACGUAGGGGGCAAGCGUUAUCCGGAUUUACUGGGUGUAAAGGGAGCGUAGACGGCAGUGCAAGUCUGGAGUGAAAGGCGGGGGCUCAACCCCCGGACUGCUCUGGAAACUGUACGGCUGGAGUGCAGGAGAGGUAAGUGGAAUUCCUAGUGGAGCGGUGAAAUGCGGAGAUAUUAGGAGGAACACCAGUGGCGAAGGCGGCUUACUGGACUGUAACUGACGUUGAGGCUCGAAAGCGUGGGGAGCAAACAGGAUUAGAUACCCCAGUAGUC